AAUCAAUUGGUCGCAGGUUCGAAUCCUGCACGACCCACCAAUUUAACAUCAAACUCAGAUGUUAAGCGUGAAGGAUAACGUUGCGUCAGCAACGGCCCGCAGGGCGAGCGAAGCGAGUCAUCCUGCACGACCCACCA
This 137-nucleotide small RNA is filed under the name Klebsiella sp. RNAcentral describes it as "partial RtT sRNA". It matches the Rfam family "RtT RNA", at positions 27 to 130 of the family's 130-position model. From Rfam's summary of the family: This family represents a bacterial cis-regulatory element known as RtT RNA. The exact function of RtT is unknown although it is thought that it may be involved in changing the cellular response in relation to amino acid starvation. The record is from RNAcentral. Lineage: Bacteria; Pseudomonadati; Pseudomonadota; Gammaproteobacteria; Enterobacterales; Enterobacteriaceae.